RNAcentral lists this ribosomal RNA (301 nucleotides) under uncultured bacterium. Its description in RNAcentral is "partial 16S ribosomal RNA". It matches the Rfam family "Bacterial small subunit ribosomal RNA", at positions 509 to 808 of the family's 1533-position model. The record is from RNAcentral.
CAGCAGCCGCGGGAAUACGUAGGUCCCGAGCGUUGUCCGGAUUUAUUGGGCGUAAAGGGAGCGCAGGCGGUUUAGUAAGUCUGAAGUUAAAGGCAUUGGCUCAACCAAUGUAUGCUUUGGAAACUGUUAGACUUGAGUGCAGAAGGGGAGAGUGGAAUUCCAUGUGUAGCGGUGAAAUGCGUAGAUAUAUGGAGGAACACCGGUGGCGAAAGCGGCUCUCUGGUCUGUCACUGACGCUGAGGCUCGGAAGCGUGGGUAGCGAACAGGAUUAGAUACCCCCGUAGUCCCUGUCUCUUAUACA